GGCUGGGCCGAAGGUAGGGAGUUAUCUCACUUGAUUGUUCAUAGUCAGUUACAGAUUGAACUCCUUGUUCUACUAUUAAUAAUUUCCCCCCUUCUCACUACUGCACUUGACUAGUCAAAA
Molecule: Y RNA, 120 nt
Filed under: Prolemur simus (greater bamboo lemur)
Lineage: Eukaryota; Metazoa; Chordata; Mammalia; Primates; Lemuridae
Description: Y RNA (ENSPSMG00000013863.1)
Rfam family: Y RNA
About the family: Y RNAs are components of the Ro ribonucleoprotein particle (Ro RNP), in association with Ro60 and La proteins. The Y RNAs and Ro60 and La proteins are well conserved, but the function of the Ro RNP is not known. In humans the RNA component can be one of four small RNAs -- hY1, hY3, hY4 and hY5.
Source: Rfam by way of RNAcentral